Molecule: long non-coding RNA, 1213 nt
Organism: Seriola aureovittata
Lineage: Eukaryota; Metazoa; Chordata; Actinopteri; Carangiformes; Carangidae
Exons: 3
Source: RefSeq, a predicted model, not a curated record
GAAAACAUCAUGGAGAACAAACGUUGGAGAGGUGGAACAGCAAAGAGAGAAGCGAAAUAAGAAAAUUAUAUCAGAGACUGAACUUCGGACAAACAUACCAUCUAUGUUGACUUUUUCAAAAGUCGGCUACUCGGCUUGCUAGCAUUAGCAAAGAGCCGGGAGAGGAUGAUGCUAACAUCGCAAAGAAAGGGGACAGUAAAAUGACCGCAGACGCUACCGUUAGUUCAUCUUAGCAUCAGCAUUAAAAAGACACAGAGCCACAGCCCUGCCAAAGACACCUGUAAAACGGCCCCACCCUCAUCUCACCCGGAGUAGGUUGAGUAGGUUACCAGUCUAGCAGCCCCUCUUUUUGUUACUUUCUACCUGUUGAACUUCUAAUCAAGGCAACACUGGACAGAGACAUGGACUUCAGUAAUACAGUGGAGGAGUUUUCGAGGGAAAAGGCCAGAGAGAAGACCGUCACUUGAGCUCCUGCCUGCUGCUGUGAGCCACCACCUCCUCUGGAACCUUAUCCAAGUCACUGGUCUGCAGAGAUGAGGACAAAUGAAGAAGAGGGCAGCAUCUUUUUUCACGAGUGCAACAGAGGGAACAGCACCUAUCACAGGGCCAGGCAGACCUGACAUCACACUUUCAUUACCAGCAGAUCACCCGAGGGCCAGUCAAAGCUAUGGCCACUGGACGUGCCUCACUGGCUAAGACACAUAAACCAGACCAGUGUCAGCAAUACUGGUCAUAAGCAUGUAAAUUUGUUUAGUUAAGUUCAGUUUUACUUUUUACUUUAGUUGUUUUGCAUUCAAAGCCAGUAUGGAUUUUUGGCGACACUAAACCGUGGAUAGAAAAUAGAUUUGUUGUGUCAGAAAUUAGAAGAAUUCUGUUUCUCCAAUAAUUUUAUGCUUGCAAGCCUCUGAACUAAAUCCAUGAUGACACACUAAUUCUGUAUUUCAGAGUCACAGGCAGAGAGGAAAGUGGUGAGCACAUCAUAUCUGGCCACUAUGAAUUCAAUCUAUCAAGGUGGAAAACACAUCAGACACCCGUGCUAUCAUGUUUGCCUGGCUGCUCAAUGCUGUAAACUAAGUGUGCAAAUUAAACCAGCUAACAUUAAACCUGCAUUGAUUGAUUAUUUUUUUUGGCCACUUGGGGGCUGUGGAAACCACUUCUAAACACAUUUUUGACAUUAUCACCCGUUGAUGUAGCAAACUUGUUAGUAAACAGC